GUGAUUGUGAAUCGUUGCCUUCAGUGCUGGCUGGCUCCCUCCAGCAAGUGCACGUUGGUGACUUUCAUCCAAAUACCCAUGUGAACCUUUGGCCUCUUGCUGGCUUCGGCUGACAGAGGAUUUUACACCCCAACUCGAAUGUAAUGAAAACUAUUGUUGUGCGCAAGCACUAACUAAUGUA
This 181-nucleotide unclassified non-coding RNA is filed under the name uncultured Sebacinaceae. Its description in RNAcentral is "sequence contains ITS1". The record is from RNAcentral. Lineage: Eukaryota; Fungi; Basidiomycota; Agaricomycetes; Sebacinales; Sebacinaceae.